This 434-nucleotide ribosomal RNA is filed under the name uncultured bacterium. RNAcentral's name for it is "bacterial SSU rRNA". It matches the Rfam family "Bacterial small subunit ribosomal RNA", at positions 29 to 508 of the family's 1533-position model. The record is from RNAcentral.
AACGAACGCUGGCGGCAUGCCUAACACAUGCAAGUCGAACGAAGGCUUCGGCCUUAGUGGCGCACGGGUGCGUAACGCGUGGGAAUCUGCCCUUAGGUUCGGAAUAACAGCUGGAAACGGCUGCUAAUACCGGAUGAUAUCGCGAGAUCAAAGAUUUAUCGCCUGAGGAUGAGCCCGCGUUGGAUUAGGUAGUUGGUGGGGUAAAGGCCUACCAAGCCGACGAUCCAUAGCUGGUCUGAGAGGAUGAUCAGCCACACUGGGACUGAGACACGGCCCAGACUCCUACGGGAGGCAGCAGUGGGGAAUAUUGGACAAUGGGCGAAAGCCUGAUCCAGCAAUGCCGCGUGAGUGAUGAAGGCCCUAGGGUUGUAAAGCUCUUUUACCCGGGAAGAUAAUGACUGUACCGGGAGAAUAAGCCCCGGCUAACUCCGUGC